This 24-nucleotide unclassified non-coding RNA is filed under the name synthetic construct. Its description in RNAcentral is "RNA from synthetic construct (PDB 7Z1L, chain R)". The record is from RNAcentral.
UAUGCUAUGCAUAACGCCACAGAG